This is a long non-coding RNA of Phyllopteryx taeniolatus (common seadragon), 1127 nucleotides long. RefSeq lists it as uncharacterized. The record is from RefSeq and is a predicted model, not a curated record. NCBI's taxonomy places the organism in Eukaryota, Metazoa, Chordata, Actinopteri, Syngnathiformes, Syngnathidae. The transcript is spliced from 3 exons.
CUAUUCUUGAGUAAUGAUGGGAUUUUCCAUGAGUGAAUGUGCCGGGAACAUUGGCGAGCGGUGAGCUCUGUGGGUGCCAACUGUGAACUGUGUGGGAAGAGCAACAAGACUCGAGAAUACAGUAGAUCCAGCUACUGUGAUGUAGAGCCAGAGAAGGAGGGAGGGGCAGGAGGAAGGCUUGAGUCCUUCCUGCCCAUAAACGGCACCGCUGGGGAAACACCAGGGAACUGUAAAGCACUUGACUGACUGGGAGCAUUUCCUGCCGACACGCUGCUUAUAAGAGGAAAAGCGGACAUGGCUGAGGACAGCAUUCGGACGUAAAGGGGGAAGUGUGGGUGAAGGAGGACGCUAAAGCCACGCUCCCAGUAGGUAUAUAGCGCCGGGGUGUGCAUUGUGCAAAACAUCGGUUUCGGAACCGCCCGAAAAUGACACCUACGAAGAGACACGCUUACGAAGCACAGUUUAAACUGCAAGCUGUCAGUUACGCGGAGGAACAUGGGAAUCGAGCAGCCGCAGCCGCGAGAGAAUUCAAGAUCAACGAAUCCAUGGUUCGCAAGUGGAGGAAGCAGGAAAACGAGCUUCGCCAAGUCAAGAAGACGAAGCUGAGUUUCCGCGGAAACAAGUCGAGGUGGCCCGAGCUGGAAGACCAACUCGGGCAAUGGAUUAAUGGGCAAAGAACAGCCAGGAGAAGCGUCUAUACAGUCACCAUUCGACUGAGGGCAAUAACGCUUGCAGAAGAAAUGAAAAUCGAACAUUUUCAAGGAGGUCCGUCUUGGUGCUUUCGUUUUAUGAAACGGCACAAUUUAUCCACCCGGGCAAGGACUACCGUGGCGCAGCAACUUCCGGCAGAUUACAAGGAAAAGCUGGCGUGGGAGCGAUGGAUGACAGAUGGCGAACACAGCUUUACUAAGACCGGGAGGCAACGCCGGGCGAGUUACGCCACCAUAUGUGAAUUUAUUGUGUAUGCUUGGGCUAACGUGUCUGCUUGCACUGUUGUUCGAGCUUUCGUAAAAGCCGGCAUAAUUUCUGAGGAGCCGCACGGCAACGAGAUUGACUCCGACGAGUACGAGAGGGAACCUGGCGUCUUUGAUUGAGAACUUGCCUAGCUGUUAAUUUUGGAUACAGAA